AAAAAAAAAAAAAAAAAAACAAAAACUACUGAGACAAGAAUGUGAACGUAACCCUAACCCAACCCAACCAAAGUCGAGCAUCUUACUACUCCACACUGUUGUAUUCUAAGCCCCACGCUCCUACCCGCUGCUGGAGUUGUCUCCAAUGGCUACGCGAGCGUUGCGCGAGGGCGCUAUCUCACCUCAAAGACACACGCACGCGCCCCGCGCGGCACCACGGGACGGAAGCCGCCAUCAAAGGAGAGUGCCGCCAGCUCACCGGCACGCGCCACCACUUCACACCGCUUCCUUUUGUCUAGUUCCGAACGUUUAUCUCAUGGAGCUGGCAUGCACGUGCACUCUACACAGCCGUCCUUUUACAAUCACAAUACCUUCAUCAUCGCCGCCAUUGUCCACACGGCACGCUGCAAAUGCCAGAGGUGCCGGGCCGCCGAUUGACACGCAGGUCCGCUGACGGCCCCUCGUCAACGGUCUGGACGACCGGUUCCUCCCUGCGCAUGGGGGACAGCGAGGGUGUCACCCCGCCGAGCACUCAGACGACCGACCCUUUGCCAUUUCGUGGACUAGACAUCGAUUCCACUAUAGCUUUAACAUUUAGACUAUGCAACUCAGCGGGCUUUGCUUUCGCGAGCCGAUGGACCACCCAAACGGCUGUGUUCGCUUACGUUCACAUUUUUUUUCUCUCUUAUUCUUAGGGGUGACCUGUUGUAAUUCUCCCCCUCUCCGGCCACUCAACGUCCAUUACCCACCGGCAAGCGUUCUCUGCCGGUCGAUGUUCUUUGGAGCAGACAUGCCAGGAUAUCCGCAACUAAAAACCUUUGUCUUCCCUUGCUCGCUCAUCGCGGGAAACGCUAAGUACAGCAUAUAUAUUUCGGGUUUCUAAAUGCCAUGUCAUCAUUCAAAACAAUAAAUGCAUAAAUAAAUAUUAAA
Molecule: long non-coding RNA, 930 nt
Organism: Pomacea canaliculata
Lineage: Eukaryota; Metazoa; Mollusca; Gastropoda; Architaenioglossa; Ampullariidae
Exons: 2
Source: RefSeq, a predicted model, not a curated record